AUGAUUCUGGUUGCAAACCAAGUUGGAUGAGAAAUCAAAUUCAAUAGUUAGGUUCAAUGUUGACCUUGUGGGAAAAUUUGAUUCGGCUCUCAUCCAGUUUGGUUCGUGAGCAGAAUUAGGGAGAUAAUUUAGUUUGUGAACAAAGGUAGCACUUACACCAUAUUGAAUCCAUAGCAUUUGUGCGAGAUUCAAGGCAGGGAAGCUCAUAUGUUCCCCUUGUGACAUCACCAUCAUUCUGUCCCUCUGUACCCCUUGUGACUCCUAAUCAACUCACAGACACCUCAGAGGGCCAUCCAUGCCCCCACCGGUAAGCACCAUCUGUCAUGUCCAUGCUACAAGUUUCGACCCAUUUGGUCUCAUCUGGGAAGCCCCUGAUUAAAUUCUCUCUGAAGCAUUGGAGCUGCAGAUUUUAAGGUCCUAAUUCUUUUCUGCUUCUUAAACUGAGCCAGAAUUGUCAAGUGAGAACCAAUGAUAUGUGGGUGGCCAUCCCAUUAGCUCUUUGACAGAGACAAGGACAGCUGGGCUGCAAAGGGAGAAAAUGAUGCAAACAGAGAGAAAGUGUGAUAAGACAUCAAGUGACUGCCUGGGCUCCAAAGGCUUAUCAGCGUCUGCUCCUGGUGCUUGAGAGUCCUGGCUGUUCUUCCGGCCCUCAGCUACUGUUUAUUUCAAUGAUAAACUCCUCUUUGUUUUUUGUUUCAGUUUUUUUGUAGGUCAUGAUAAUUGUACCAAAAACAAAAACAAGUUUGAAAUAGCUACACUGACCAAGAUCAUCUGUGGGCAUCAGUGGGCAAUUCCAGAAUGUGGGAGAAUGCAGUGGGUCAAAGAGGAAUUGGGUUCAUCGCAGAAGAUGCCCGCAAGGGAGGGUUGCUCCCUUCAGAAACUUCAAGGAAGAAACUGACACCAUGUAACUGUGGCUCUUCCCUGAAGUCAAAAUAACCGUAAAAAGAAAACAGUCUGAGUCGAUUCAGGACAUCAAGGCAGCCAGUGCAACUAAAGACGCUCAUGACAGAGGACUCCCAGACUGCUUCAGAGAGGGGCAGGAACGGCGAGCUGAGUAUGUUCAAAGUGAAGGUGAAUCCAUUGGAGGGGAUGAACGCCAAUGGGACUUUUACUCCAGUGAUUUCAACAAAGUAAACAUUUACUGUAUUUUUCAAUCACAUCCUAUAUUAUAGCAUGGUAGUAGACGUCAGAAAAAUACAUAUUUAGGAACCUCUUUCCCAUAAUAAUAGUAAAGUCAUUAUAAG
This 1244-nucleotide long non-coding RNA is filed under the name Fukomys damarensis (Damara mole-rat). Its description in RNAcentral is "lncRNA (ENSFDAG00000027003.1)". Lineage: Eukaryota; Metazoa; Chordata; Mammalia; Rodentia; Bathyergidae. The record is from RNAcentral.